RNAcentral lists this ribosomal RNA (254 nucleotides) under uncultured bacterium. Its description in RNAcentral is "partial 16S ribosomal RNA". It matches the Rfam family "Bacterial small subunit ribosomal RNA", at positions 524 to 776 of the family's 1533-position model. The record is from RNAcentral.
GACGGAGGGUGCUAGCGUUGUUCGGAAUCACUGGGCGUAAAGGGCGCGUAGGCGGCCCAUGCCGUCGGCUCGUGAAAGCCCGGGGCUCAACCCCGGAGGUGCGGCCGAGACCCAUGGGCUGGAGGUCGGAAGAGGAGGGUGGAAUCCCGAGUGUAGAGGUGAAAUUCGUAGAUAUUGGGUGGAACACCGGUGGCGAAAGCGGCUCUCUGGUCCGGUUCUGACGCUGAGGGGCGAAAGCGUGGGGAGCAAACAGG